UGGGGAAUAUUGCGCAAUGGGGGAAACCCUGACGCAGCAACGCCGCGUGAAGGAUGAAGGUUUUCGGAUUGUAAACUUCUUUGAUGAGGGACGAAACAAAUGACGGUACCUCAAAAACAAGCCACGGCUAACUACGUGCCAGCAGCCGCGGUAAUACGUAGGUGGCGAGCGUUGUCCGGAAUUACUGGGUGUAAAGGGCGUGUAGGCGGGGAUGUAAGUCAGAUGUGAAAUACCGAGGCUUAACUUCGGGGCUGCAUCUGAAACUACGUUUCUUGAGUGUCGGAGAGGAAAGCGGAAUUCCCAGUGUAGCGGUGAAAUGCGUAGAUAUUGGGAGGAACACCAGUGGCGAAGGCGGCUUUCUGGACGAUAACUGACGCUGAGGCGCGAAAGCGUGGGGAGCAAACA
This 405-nucleotide ribosomal RNA is filed under the name uncultured bacterium. RNAcentral's name for it is "bacterial SSU rRNA". It matches the Rfam family "Bacterial small subunit ribosomal RNA", at positions 355 to 774 of the family's 1533-position model. The record is from RNAcentral.